UACGUACUCCCUCCGUUCGGAAUUACUUGUCGUAGAAAUGGGUGUAUCUAGACAUUUUUCAGUUCUAGAUACAUCCAUUUAUGCGACAAGUAAUUCGGGAUGGAGGGAGUACUAU
Molecule: non-coding RNA, 115 nt
Organism: Triticum aestivum (bread wheat)
Lineage: Eukaryota; Viridiplantae; Streptophyta; Magnoliopsida; Poales; Poaceae
Source: Rfam